This is a transfer RNA of Albugo candida, 81 nucleotides long. It matches the Rfam family "tRNA". Rfam says of the family: Transfer RNA (tRNA) molecules are approximately 80 nucleotides in length. Lineage: Eukaryota; Oomycota; Peronosporomycetes; Albuginales; Albuginaceae. The record is from Rfam.
GGCAGCUUGGCCGAGUGGUUAAGGCGAUGGCCUGCUAAGCCAUUAGGGUAACCUGCGUGAGUUCGAAUCUCACAGCUGUCG